UUCCUUCAGUUCAAGAGGAGAGAGAUGCAACCCAGCAUGUAGGGGCCUGAGGAGGCAGGGGCCCUGCCUACCUGAACACAGGUGGUCACCCAGGCUUCCCAAGGUGCGUUUAGCUCUCCUGCCUUCUGAGGGACCAGCCGCUACAGAGCCUCAAGGGCCCCUGGGAGCAGGAGCCUCUGAAGUGCGUUGCUGUCACACCUGGAAAAGAAUCGUCCUUCCAACAGCCUCUCUAUAUUGAUACAUCCCGCGUGAGCUCCCCAAAAAGCAGCCACAGCUCUUGAGGCAGUGCUGCUCUGAGAGCAAGCGUGUGAGCAGUGCUGUCACAGCGGCAGUCCAGGCCUGACUGAAAGCAUCCCUGGAUGAUGGCUUCUCUUCCUUCCCCUGUUGGUCUCUGAUUGCAGUCACUAAGCGCUCUGAAUUGAACUAGGCGUUAAUAGCUCUGCUGACUGACAGUGGCUGCUAAGCGGCUUCACGUGCUGCGUAGAAGCCGGCGAUUGGAGGAGAACGAGGGCAUGCAGAGCUCGGAUGGAUGUCCCCAGGGUCCAUCAGAACUCUGCACCCAGGUGGGUUCCCCUGGGCAGUGUCCGUGGGGCUCUGAAGUCUGGCGGGUCGAAGGCUGCCUCGUCUGUUAAUUUACUCAGAUGGUGUCUCCAUGGUUCAUGCUGAUUAGUCAGUCCCAUGAUUCCAUUUGCCAAUACUCUGUGUUCCAGAAAGACCCAGGACGCGCCCGCUGGCAUGAGUUCAGGAUGCUGCUGGGCACGAGUGAGGCUGGCAGACGCAGAUCCUACUAUGUGACAUUGUCUUGGCUGCCCCAGUGAUGUAUGGGGCAAAGUGCCCCCGCUCAUGAGUACUAAUUUUCAAUGAGAUCCAUUUUCACCUCUGCCGGUCCACAGCCUAGGGAUUUUGCACACAUGACUGUGAGUCAACAGUUCCUGUGCCAUGGGCCCAUUGUGUGACCUUGGACAAGUCAUUUAGUUCGCCCCUGUACCUCAGUUUCCCCAUCUAUACCACGGGGAUAAUAAUGGUGGUCAACCUCAAUGGAAUUGGGUGGUUUGACAAUUAAUUAGUUAAUGUUUGUAAAGUAUUUUGAAGCUGGAAAGUGCUAAAUGCUGCUUUUGUUGUGAUUUCAUUACCAUUUGUAUAGGUUAUAAUAAUUAAUGUAAAUUUCAUCUGGUAGAA
This is a long non-coding RNA of Dermochelys coriacea (leatherback sea turtle), 1179 nucleotides long. RefSeq lists it as uncharacterized. The record is from RefSeq and is a predicted model, not a curated record. NCBI's taxonomy places the organism in Eukaryota, Metazoa, Chordata, Testudines, Dermochelyidae. The transcript is spliced from 5 exons.